UACGGAGGGUGCAAGCGUUAGUCGGAAUAACUGGGCGUAAAGGGUGCGUAGGCGGGCUUAUAAGUUAUGUGUGAAAUUACGGGGCUUAACCCUGUAGCUGCAUAUAAGACUGUAAGUCUAGAGGAAUGGUGGGGAAAGCGGAAUUCCACAUGUAGCGGUGAAAUGCGUAGAUAUGUGGAAGAACACCUGUGGCGAAAGCGGCUUUCUAACCUAAUCCAGACGCUGAGGCACGAAAGCAAGGGGAUCAAACAGG
RNAcentral lists this ribosomal RNA (253 nucleotides) under uncultured bacterium. Its description in RNAcentral is "partial 16S ribosomal RNA". It matches the Rfam family "Bacterial small subunit ribosomal RNA", at positions 524 to 776 of the family's 1533-position model. The record is from RNAcentral.